GAUGAACGCUGGCGGCGUGCCUAAUACAUGCAAGUCGAGCGAACAGAUGAGGAGCUUGCUCCUCUUACGUUAGCGGCGGACGGGGGAGUAAAACGUGGAUAACCUACCUAUAAGACGGGGAUAACCUCGGGAAACCGGAGCUAAUACCGGAUAAUAUAUUGAACCGCAUGGUUCAAUAGUGAAAGACGGUUUUGCUGUCACUUAUAGAUGGAUCCGCGCCGCAUUAGCUAGUUGGUAAGGUAACGGCUUACCAAGGCAACGAUGCGUAGCCGACCUGAGAGGGUGAUCCGCCACACUGGAACUGAGACACGGUCCAGACUCCUACGGGAGGCAGCAGUAGGGAAUCUUGCGCAAUGGGCGAAAGCCUGACGGAGCAACGCCGCGUGAGUGAUGAAGGUCUUCGGAUCGUAAAACUCUGUUAUUAGGGAAGAACAAAUGUGUAAGUAACUAUGCACGUAUUGACGUUACCUGAUCAGAAAGCCACGGCUAACUCCGUG
Molecule: ribosomal RNA, 497 nt
Filed under: uncultured bacterium
Lineage: Bacteria
Description: partial 16S ribosomal RNA
Rfam family: Bacterial small subunit ribosomal RNA
Source: RNAcentral